RNAcentral lists this long non-coding RNA (538 nucleotides) under Helianthus annuus (common sunflower). The record is from RNAcentral. Lineage: Eukaryota; Viridiplantae; Streptophyta; Magnoliopsida; Asterales; Asteraceae.
UUCAGAAACGGCGCCAACCUCUCAAAACAAGACGUGACUUUUCGCAAGGAGACACAUCGAUUCAAGAGGAGACGCAACUGUUCAAUCGCACCUAUUCGUAUAGUAUAUAUAGGGUUCAUAUAUGUAAUAAGGGCAAAAGCUGGUGGCAAAAUUGCACAUCUGCAGGAGCUUCAAUGAGCGGCCUUAAAUAAGACCGUUCAAGUAUGGAUGGAAACCCGUGGAUGCUGAAAUCCAGAAGAAAGGUGUAAUGGAAGAGGCUCUCACUGUAGUCUGCAGGCCCAUCAUCUCUUGUAUCCCCUGCAUCAAUUAACACAAGAGACUACUAACGAGAUAAAUACAGAGCAUCAACAAACAAACAGAGUACAACAAAACAAUGAACACUCAACUAGUUUUCUACAAACGAAUUUGCAAGUUAUACUCCAAUAAUUCCAAGCCGAUGUGCAAAUUGUGGUUGGAACUAUUUCUGCAGUGAAUCAAGAUGUGCUCCAUUGACAUUCCACUCUAAAAUACGGCUUCACGUUGGAUGUUAGAAAUAAAG